GGUAGGAUGGCUGAGCGAGGCAGUAAGCUGUAGACUUACUUACGGAGGUGAAAGUCCCCCUACUACAG
RNAcentral lists this transfer RNA (68 nucleotides) under Gekko subpalmatus. RNAcentral's name for it is "tRNA-Tyr". Lineage: Eukaryota; Metazoa; Chordata; Lepidosauria; Squamata; Gekkonidae. The record is from RNAcentral.